GCUGGGCGUGGUGACACACGCUUGUAGUCCUAGCUACUUGGGAAGCUGAGGUGGGAGGAUUGCUUGAGUUCAGGAGGUUGAUGCUGCAGUGAGCUAUGAUUGUGUCACUGCACUCCAGCCUGGACAACAGAGCAAGACCCUGUCUCAA
RNAcentral lists this non-coding RNA (148 nucleotides) under Gorilla gorilla gorilla (western lowland gorilla). Lineage: Eukaryota; Metazoa; Chordata; Mammalia; Primates; Hominidae. The record is from Rfam by way of RNAcentral.